UGCCCGCUAACAAAUUGAAAACUGUACCUAUACGCCUUAUUUUAGUCCAGAUUUUUAGUAUUCGUAUUGUUAUCUUAGAAAGUUUUACUGAUUAAAAUGCUAUACAAUAGGUAACAAUUUGACAAUCUAGUAGUGUCAACCCUGUGAAUAUGACCCGUGUAUAUAGCAUAUUAAUCCUGAAUACACCGUUUGGUGGUGCGCCUGUCAGAUGCGGAACGUACAAAUAAGGUAAUAGGUACUGGUGAAUAUACUAUUGGUAUCGGUAUCGGACUCAACCCG
This 279-nucleotide long non-coding RNA is filed under the name Mytilus galloprovincialis (Mediterranean mussel). Lineage: Eukaryota; Metazoa; Mollusca; Bivalvia; Mytilida; Mytilidae. The record is from RNAcentral.